UCUCCCCUCCCCUUCCCUUCUCUGUCCCCUCCCCUUCCCUGUCCCACCUCUGAGCUCACCUUGAGGAUCCAGCUCCUGCUCUCUGUACCCUAAUCUUAUUAAAUCAAUGGCCAACUGAUUUCUCUUCCUGCCUCUAACCUUAAUUCCCACUUCUCAAGUACUCAACUCCCCAUUAAAUCUGUCGCCAUCACCACCCAGUAAAACACUCUUCAGCCCUUGCAAGCUCCCAUUUCAUUUUUGAAUUUUCCUUCCUCUCCAGAGUACUUGAUUGUAGCCUCCUAAAUCCAUGCAUCUCUUUUCUGCAUUCAAUGUUUUUGCUGCUCAAAUGUGGUUUUCGCUGCUACUACAGUGCUGAAAUGACCCUGAUUUGAGUAACAAAUGCAUUGUUCUUUCAAGACUUCUUAUCCUUGUAUUUUUUUUCAGCUAUGGAUACCAGCUUCCUGUUAUGCUUCUGCACUGCUCCCCACCUGUGUAGGGCCAUCACCAUUCUUGUCCAUCUGAACCUAGCCAUGAAUCAUCUGCAAUGCCUCCUCUACCCUUUGCCACACAUUUAUCCCUGGAGUUCCCCAAUAAUCUAUCCUUGGCCACCACCUGUUUAUCAUCUGUAUGCUGCCUCUUAUGUCAUCACUCAGAAACACAUCACAUUCCACAUGAAUGCUGACCAUGCCCAGUUCUCUCAAAUCUUCCACAUUAACCAUUUGUGAUGCUGCUUGUCCAACAUUCAAUAGUGGAUGAGCAAAAAUUGCCUGCAACUAAAUACUGAGAUGUUCGAGACGUUGGUCAGGAUUUUUCAUCCUGCAUCUUUGCUGACAGCAGCAAUCUUACAGCUAUUUUAAAUUCUGAGGAGCAUAAUUAACUGGAAAUGGGGCUUCUGCCCUUCACUUGUGUCUCAGUGCUGCCAGCCAAUCUGAUUGUCCUGUGUUUUCGCCAUUUCAGCAGUGUCAGUGGCAGCAUGUAUUUGGUCUGUGAAUCCACAAUAGGUCAAUGUAAAAUGCUCAUUGCUUUCAAUUCCACCACGAAUGCAAUUCCAAACCAUUACAGCAAAUAAUUUCUACCCUGUUAUCUGAAUGAAUGUUUCUACAUGUUUUGCAAGAUAAGUUUAUCAUAACAAGUACAAAACAUUAAGUUAUUUUCAACCGAUCCAUUUCGGGACAUGAGCUAUCAAACCUGGGUAACUGAGCACAUUGUUGACUAAAGUUGACCUUCAGUCUUUGAUCUUCCUUUGUGUACCACACCAGUCUGAAUUAUCUUGAACUCUAAUUGGCUGGUCAUGGAAAGCGUGAGUUCAAUUUCAGAUUGGCUAAACAGUCUUAAGCUAAUUCCUAAUUGGGUUGUUACUGAUAACACUUCUUACUAUCUCCUGGUUCUUUUUUGAAAUGUAAGUCAAACAUUUUUUUUCAUGACACCUUGUCCCAUUUACCUUCCAAAUUCAUAGAUCUCUACCAAGGUGACGUGGCGUUAGAAAAUUGGUCAUCUGCUUUGAGUAUGUAGUAUAAUCUCUCUUUUGCCCCCCCCCCCCCCCAGUAAUGUUAUACCGUAUAUACUUCCCAAUACGAUAUAUUCAAGUAUUCUCAUAUUCCAAAGCCUCUUCAUAUCCUUAAACUAAAAGAAUCAUGAGUCCACAAUUGUUGCCUAAAACUAAUCAAACUAUUAAUUACCCAAUUAAAUUAAUAACAUAGGCCUGUCACAUGCUUUAAGCUACAAAACAACAAUUUUAAAGCACAGUUGUACUUAUAAGAAAAAAUCUUUUAUCUAAAAUUAGAUUCACAUAUUUACUCCUUAACGGACUCAGGCAUAAAACCAUAAAUCCUACUUUUGACUGGGGCCAUAUUGCUAUUCUUUACAGAAAGUCUCUGUAGAAACUAACCUCAGUCAAAGUACAAUUUAGUUCAUCACUUCCUUAAUUAAGUCAAAAUUAUGGAAAAAUAACUCAAUCCUACAUCUGCCUCAGCUCAUUCACUGAAAGUCUGAUUUGUGUAUGUGUUACCUCUGGAUUUGAUUGUUCCCCUGUUCUUCUGGUCACCCUUCCAUUUUCCAAACUCCAAAACCUUCCUCUCAUCUAAACUUUGCUGACCAUAUCCUGUUUUACACCUGCGUUCCAGUUACACAUCCUGACGGUGCUCACCGUCCUCUGACGGCUCCCAAAGCAACACUUUGAUUGUAUGAUUCUUAUCCUUGUUUCCAGCAGCCUUCAUGGCAUUGUCUGUCUGUCUUGCUCUCUGGCAUGCUGGCUCAUUCUGGCUCUGCCUGUCUUCUCUGUCUGGCCUGUCUGUGCCCCUCACGAUUUUAUUAACCCCCAUAAAGUCACCUCCCAGCCUGCAAUGCUCCAGGGCAAACAGCCCCAGCCUAUUGUUGUUUGAUACGAUCCUAAGAGGAGGUUUGGGAUAUUUUUGUGGAAUUAGAGAGUCCCUCUAAUUUUACUGUCAGGGUUGCACUUGCAUACUUACAGUCCAUCAGUUUGUUUAUUUGUCACCACUCGAGUUCUUGCCAUCCACCCUCUUGUAGCAAUAUUUGGGCAUCCAGCCAAGACACAAGAAAGAAUGACAACUUGGGGUUAAACAUCAAUGAAGAUGUUCAGUAUCAAGAAGUUUUUGAGCUUUGGACCCAUUCUUUACAAGGAAUCUAAUGGCUUUAUGAGAGAGGAGGAUAAACGAUAUAAUGAGGACAAUAAUCUACCUUUUUCUGCUGUCAUUACCUCAUUGAAUUGUUUCAGAAGAGGAAUUGUGGUCAAGAAAUAGUGAACACUCCUUGCAAUAUAUUAGUCUGAGCUGAGCUCUGCCAUGGAUGUCAAUUUUAAUUUUAAAAUCUAAAUGAUUUUAAGUACUGUGGAAACUUGUGUUUCGCUUUCUAACGUAAGCUUUCAUUUGACCUUUAAAUGUAAGCUACUCAAUCAUAAAACACUGAACUUGGCUGAAGAUGAG
Chiloscyllium plagiosum (whitespotted bambooshark) is the source of this 2921-nucleotide non-coding RNA. The record is from RefSeq and is a predicted model, not a curated record. NCBI's taxonomy places the organism in Eukaryota, Metazoa, Chordata, Chondrichthyes, Orectolobiformes, Hemiscylliidae.